Molecule: long non-coding RNA, 1122 nt
Filed under: Pogona vitticeps (central bearded dragon)
Lineage: Eukaryota; Metazoa; Chordata; Lepidosauria; Squamata; Agamidae
Description: lncRNA (ENSPVIG00000019954.1)
Source: RNAcentral
AUGUCUUCUCAUUUCUCUCUCUCUCCCUUUUGGUUCAUUAAAACAACCUUUGUAACCGCCUGGGAAAGAGGCCGUGACCUUUCACAGCAGAGCCCAGUCCUGGACUUCUUCCCAGUUCUCGGAAGGCCGUGGAAACUUGUCCUGGAGACUGGAGGGGAGGCAAAUGAAACUCUGCCGUUAUUUCCCCCCCGCACGCGCACACGCGCGCUCCAGACACGCUGUGCACGAAGACCUUGGCCCCAUUCUCUGCCUUCUGCUUCCCCGUCUGGGGGCGGGAAACGACAUCAAGGGGCGCUUUCUGCAGGGAGACUGAGGGUGGCUCCCGCUGCAAUCGUUUGGACCGCCUUUGCUCUCCGACUUUGGCCACCCGCCGUGCCCCCACAACAGGCGGGGUGGGGUGGGGUGGGGGGGCUCCUCUUCCCUCCAGCACAGACUGGCUACCUUUCCUCUCCCGCUGCCCUUCAUGCCACGGGGCUCUCCCGCCAUGCGGCGCUUGGGGCCGGCGGAGUUGCGUGCAGGCUCGCUCUGCGGAGCAGCAGCGCUCUGUCCUCCCAGGGAUCCCGGCUGCCUCCUUCCAGCACCUCGAGUUCCGUUUCCCAGGCGCCAAAGGCCGAGGGAUGCAAGGCUCCGGUUCCCGUCCUGAAGGAGAAAACCCUGUGGCUGGGCCUGGAGCCGAGGAGGCCGCCCUCGCUGCUGCUGCUGCCGCCACCCCUGCUUUGCCAAGGCCAAGGAGGAGUCGUUGGGCAAAUGAAAGCCACCGAGACCAGGAGGACCAGCCUCCGCACGUCGGCCAUCUCUUCUCCUCUGCUCUCCAGCAGGCAGAAGGAGACGACGGUUGUUGUUGUUUCUCUCUCUCUCUCUUUCUCUUUCUCCCCCUUCCGCCCCCCCCCCAAGCCCUGCUCCUUUCUGAAUUCGGUCAUUGUCCUGCAACUUCAAGCGCUGGGCAAGUCAGGAGAGAACAAGGGCCUCGGCUGUUCUGAUUUCAACAUGUGUGGGUUUCCUGGGAUUUUGUGGCAAACGUUUCAUGUGGAAAAGAGGGAGGUCCGGGAUUCUUCUGAGACGCCUCCUCUUCACGUGUCAGCCCAGCGCUUCCUUGCUGCUGUUCUAGAGGGUCGGAUCUGA